UAGGGAAUCUUCGGCAAUGGACGAAAGUCUGACCGAGCAACGCCGCGUGAGUGAAGAAGGUUUUCGGAUCGUAAAACUCUGUUGUUAGAGAAGAACAAGGACGUUAGUAACUGAACGUCCCCUGACGGUAUCUAACCAGAAAGCCACGGCUAACUACGUGCCAGCAGCCGCGGUAAUACGUAGGUGGCAAGCGUUGUCCGGAUUUAUUGGGCGUAAAGCGAGCGCAGGCGGUUUCUUAAGUCUGAUGUGAAAGCCCCCGGCUCAACCGGGGAGGGUCAUUGGAAACUGGGAGACUAGAGUACAGAAGAGGAGAGUGGAAUUCCGUGUGUAGCGGUGAAAUGCGUAGAUAUAUGGAGGAACACCAGUGGCGAAGGCGGCUCUCUAGUCUGUAACUGACGCUGAGGCUCGAAAGCGUGGGGAGCAAACAGG
RNAcentral lists this ribosomal RNA (429 nucleotides) under Gemmatimonadota bacterium. RNAcentral describes it as "Gemmatimonadetes bacterium partial 16S ribosomal RNA". It matches the Rfam family "Bacterial small subunit ribosomal RNA", at positions 355 to 776 of the family's 1533-position model. Lineage: Bacteria; Pseudomonadati; Gemmatimonadota. The record is from RNAcentral.